RNAcentral lists this ribosomal RNA (565 nucleotides) under uncultured Glomeromycotina. Its description in RNAcentral is "SSU rRNA". It matches the Rfam family "Eukaryotic small subunit ribosomal RNA", at positions 548 to 1114 of the family's 1831-position model. Lineage: Eukaryota; Fungi; Glomeromycota. The record is from RNAcentral.
UUGGAGGGCAAGUCUGGUGCCAGCAGCCGCGGUAAUUCCAGCUCCAAUAGCGUAUAUUAAAGUUGUUGCAGUUAAAAAGCUCGUAGUUGAAUUUCGGGGUUAGUAGGUUGGUCAUGCCUCUGGUAUGUACUGGUCUCACUGAUUCCUCCUUCCUUAUGAACCGUAAUGCCAUUAAUUUGGUGUUGCGGGAAAUUUGGACUGUUACUUUGAAAAAAUUAGAGUGUUUAAAGCAAGCUAACGCUUGAAUACAUUAGCAUGGAAUAAUGAAAUAGGACGUUCGAUCUUAUUUUGUUGGUUUCUAGGAUUGACGUAAUGAUUAAUAGGGAUAGUUGGGGGCAUUAGUAUUCAAUUGUCAGAGGUGAAAUUCUUGGAUUUAUUGAAGACUAACUACUGCGAAAGCAUUUGCCAGGGAUGUUUUCAUUAAUCAAGAACGAAAGUUAGGGGAUCGAAGACGAUCAGAUACCGUCGUAGUCUUAACCAUAAACUAUGCCGACUAGGGAUCGGAUGAUGUUAAUUUUUUAAUGACUCAUUCGGCGACUUACGGGAAACCAAAGUGUUUGGGUUC